RNAcentral lists this ribosomal RNA (402 nucleotides) under Clostridium paraputrificum. Its description in RNAcentral is "bacterial SSU rRNA". It matches the Rfam family "Bacterial small subunit ribosomal RNA", at positions 353 to 772 of the family's 1533-position model. Lineage: Bacteria; Bacillati; Bacillota; Clostridia; Eubacteriales; Clostridiaceae. The record is from RNAcentral.
AGUGGGGAAUAUUGCACAAUGGGGGAAACCCUGAUGCAGCAACGCCGCGUGAGUGAUGACGGCCUUCGGGUUGUAAAGCUCUGUCUUUGGGGACGAUAAUGACGGUACCCAAGGAGGAAGCCACGGCUAACUACGUGCCAGCAGCCGCGGUAAUACGUAGGUGGCAAGCGUUGUCCGGAUUUACUGGGCGUAAAGGGAGCGUAGGCGGAUUUUUAAGUGGGAUGUGAAAUACCCGGGCUCAACCUGGGUGCUGCAUUCCAAACUGGAAAUCUAGAGUGCAGGAGGGGAAAGUGGAAUUCCUAGUGUAGCGGUGAAAUGCGUAGAGAUUAGGAAGAACACCGGUGGCGAAGGCGACUUUCUGGACUGUAACUGACGCUGAGGCUCGAAAGCGUGGGGAGCAAA